RNAcentral lists this ribosomal RNA (414 nucleotides) under Triticum aestivum (bread wheat). RNAcentral describes it as "partial small subunit ribosomal RNA". Lineage: Eukaryota; Viridiplantae; Streptophyta; Magnoliopsida; Poales; Poaceae. The record is from RNAcentral.
AUGGAUCCGCCGCACCCUCCACACCACCACCACCACCACAGGCUCCACCUCCGCCUCGACCCCGGCCACCACCACCGCAUCCACAUCCACCUCCGCCACCACGCCGCCCACCUCCUCCCCGCCGCCGCUCCCUGUGCCCACCACCACCACCACGCAUCGGUUCCUCUUCCUCCUCCCCACCCGCCGACCGCGGCGGAAGGACCCCUCGCGGGGCCGCAGGGAGAGGCGGCGAGGGACGCGGAGGAGCCGGCGCCGCAGGCGGAGCGAGGAGAGGAAGUUUACCUCGGGCAAGAAGGGUGGGAAGAGGAGGAGGAGCCGGUGUUCGUCCUGACGGAGGAGUGGGCCGAGUUCUUCGCCAAGGCCGACGCCAAGAGGAGGCUGGCCAAGCAGCAGAAGAAGAACCGGAAGAAAUAG